Alexandromys fortis (reed vole) is the source of this 381-nucleotide long non-coding RNA. RefSeq lists it as uncharacterized. The transcript is spliced from 4 exons. Lineage: Eukaryota; Metazoa; Chordata; Mammalia; Rodentia; Cricetidae. The record is from RefSeq and is a predicted model, not a curated record.
UGAAGGUACAGGACUUGGUAUUUCACUGCUGUUUUGGUUUUGCUUUGAUCCAGUAUUUUCUCAUGAUGCCGCCAUUCAUCCUUUUUGGAAUGUUAUUGUAUAUUUUGUGCCAUAGUAUAUUGGAAGCCACGAGGACUACAGGACCUUCCAGAUGCUUGGAGACAACCUGGAGGAGGCGGUCAUGCUUGACCAGAAGAUGAGCAAAUUGUACUGGCUGUGCCCCAAGGAGGAGAUGAACAAGGCCAACUUCAUCUUCACCUGGUAUGUGUAGGGCCUGACCACACAACAGAAAUAAGGCAAAGAAAGGUGAUAAAUUUGGAAUUGCUCUCCGAUCGUGAAAUAUUCCUGUGAAUACAAAAUGAACGAUAGUGCGCUACUCCA